CCGCCCUUUCUCCAACCCGUUCUUCCGGCGUGUAUUUCUCUUCCAGUUCCUUUCUUGCUGCGAUGGCGAUGACACGCGUUUUAGGUUGGCAGCUGUGGAGCUAUGAGAUGGCAUUGCUGUAUCAAGAUGGCAGCAACAGAACACUUCAUUCGGUGCUUACUAAAGGUCCGGCUGUUCUGACACAGGUCGUGGUUCCCUUUCAGCAUGCUCUUUCGGCUUCGUGCAAGCUACAAUAUUUACUUCCUCAUAUAUCAGCAUUCUCUGGUGAUGGAUGAAUUGUACUUCGCAUAUUUUGGCGAGGGUUAGCAUGGUGCUGUGUGUUGCAGCUGUUCUGACAAAGGUCGUGGUUCCCUUUCGGUUUCAUGCAAGUUACAAUAUUUCCUCAUGUAAUCUACAAUAAAUAACCUGAAUAGGUAAAUACUAAGGUGUGAGAGCUGCAUAUUUCCUUGAAACAGGGUAUUUUAAAUCACCUGGAUGUGUGGAUCUGCAAAGCUGAAGGCUGACCUCCAUUUCUGCAGUACUGUGUCAAUUUGGCUGGGCAUGUGGAGUUCACUGUGAUCAUUUUGUAUUCAGUGAAUAAAGAAUUAUAUUUUUUA
This is a long non-coding RNA of Bacillus rossius redtenbacheri, 596 nucleotides long. RefSeq lists it as uncharacterized. The transcript is spliced from 7 exons. The record is from RefSeq and is a predicted model, not a curated record. Lineage: Eukaryota; Metazoa; Arthropoda; Insecta; Phasmatodea; Bacillidae.